AACAGCCAUGAACUCCUGUCUCUACCCAUUACCCUCUUUUGCAUCUACAUAUAUUAUAUACAUACAUACAUACAUAUAUAUAUAUAUAUCCAAACAUAAAUAUCUCUCAAAAAUAUCUCAUACCCUCUCUAUCUCAAUGUGUAUUCCUAAGGACGAACAUGAUCGGCUCCCUUGUCUUCGUUGCCAACCGCAAGAAUACAUAAGACUGGUUCAACAUUUGAUAGAAAGAUGCUUACUUCGUAACAUGAGAAGAGAUGAGUGCGUCCAAGCAUUGGCCAAGCAUGCUGCCAUCGACCCCAUCAUCACACUUACAGUGUGGAGAGAGUUGGUCAAAGAGAAUAGAGGCUUCUUUCAAGCAUAUCUCCUUGCUAUUUCUCCAAGGCACUUCAACAGAACCAUAAACUAAUUAAGCACAAAGCACAGCAGAUUAAUUCUAUGUUUAAAAUCCCUGAAUUUGCAAAUAAUAUAUAUCUAUCUAUCUCUCUCU
Molecule: non-coding RNA, 487 nt
Organism: Carica papaya (papaya)
Lineage: Eukaryota; Viridiplantae; Streptophyta; Magnoliopsida; Brassicales; Caricaceae
Source: RefSeq, a predicted model, not a curated record